This is a long non-coding RNA of Nymphaea colorata (pocket water lily), 3422 nucleotides long. RefSeq lists it as uncharacterized. The transcript is spliced from 3 exons. The record is from RefSeq and is a predicted model, not a curated record. Lineage: Eukaryota; Viridiplantae; Streptophyta; Magnoliopsida; Nymphaeales; Nymphaeaceae.
UUGCCCGUUAGGGCAUGCGAGCGCGUCUUCGUGUCUUCCUUCUCUUCCUUCCUGUGCCGCAGCCGCUCCCUCCUCUUCCUCCUCCCCUCCGUUUGCAUCUUCCUCUACUCCUCCUCCUCCGCCGCCUCCCUCCGUAGCAGGACCUCCACCACCACUACGACCACAUCUUCCAACGAUGACAGCGAGAAAAGGACGAGUCGGAGGUCUGCCGCCUUCUGCGAUUACUCCCAGGGACAAUGGGUCUACGACCCGCAGGCUGAGCCCCUCUACGACCACACCUGCAAGGAGAUCUUCAAGGGCUGGAACUGCAUCGCCAACAACAAGCAGAACGCCCUUGAUUUGACUAAAUGGCGCCCUUGAUCUGACUAAAUGGCGUUGGCAACCCUACGGUUGCGAUCUCCCUCGCUUAGAUCCCCUCCACUUCCUCGAACAUUUCCAUAAUACUAAUAUCGGUUUUGUCGGCGAUUCGUUAAACAGGAACAUGUUCGUCUCGCUUGUUUGCUUGCUCAGACGGGCUUCCAAUGAGGUGCGGAAAUGGCGGCCUGCCAAGGCCGAUCGGGGGUUUACAUUUUUUAGAUUUAACCUUACGAUUGCAUACCAUCGGACGAAUCUUUUGGCCCGUUCCUCCCUGUAAGGAGCUAUAUUGUUGCUUUUAUGAACUUGCAUUGGUCCUCGUUAUAUUUCUCCUUGGGUUUACGGAAGGGCGCAGAUUUGCACUAUCGAUCUUGAGGAUUUGAAGUGCCUAUGCUGCAGAGCGUGUGAAGCAACUUAUCUGCUCGAGUAAGAUAUUUGAGAUUUUUUAAAAUCUCCCCUGAAACACAAAAUUGCCAAGUUAUUUUGCCUGUCAAAUGUGGAAUCUAGAAACGUCAAGGUCAGAAUGCAUUGUGGGUCAGAUAGUCAGCCCAAUGGAUGUAUCGCCAUAAAGUAAGGCGUAGGUUUGUGCUUGGCUUUGAUAUUCAUGGUAGCAAGGAAAACGUGAUUGUGAAGACUUCCCUAAACUUUCAGAUCUGAAAUGCAAUGUAGUGGCCUCAGAAAUUUGGACUCAUAAUUCAAGAAUGGCUUCCCUAGUUUACAUAACUGAUUAAUCCACUGGGCUUCCAAUUGACGAUCCUGAUCGGCUUGUCAAAGUUAAGGAGAUGCUGAGAAAUGUGCUUAGGGAUGACCGAGACAAGCGCAGUGCCAAAACAGCGGUGUCAAUUGGUGUAGCUGAUACGGACAGGAGACUUCACCAAAUGAUGUACGCUGACCGUGAGCUUGCGGUGUAAGGAUUGGCCUAAGCUCCUGUUUGAUGCAGUGUGCACAUUGAUUGACAUGCAGUAUGUUGUUUUCCAUGCAACUAUUAUGGCUGAGGGAUGAGAAGCAUUUCAGGUAUCACUUCAUUUGUUUCUGGAAUUAUGCCAUUGUUAACUUGCAGUUUUCAUAUGGAAGACUUCUUUAUAGCAUAUUGACAUUCACAAAGUCAAAAAGCCAAUCCAAUUGAAGAACUGUUCUGGAACUAUGAAAGAAACCCUUGAGCUAAAUGUCAAGCUCUUUUGAGAGCUAUGCUUCUGAGAACCCUGUUCUUGGGGAAAAACAGUGUAGCAGUAUGUACUGUAGAGACAUUUACUUCUUGCAACGGCUUCUUCUCCCUGUCUGGUUGAAAUUAAAUCUGCAUCACUCAAGACUGAUAUGAGCAUUUACUCAUGGUGAAGUUCCAUUUUAUAGCAUUGUGUAUUGGUUGACCAAGCUUCUGCUCUUUCUUUUUUAAUAUAUAGCAUCUUUGUUCGAGUUCACAAACAUAACCUACUUCCUAAUUCAUGAAAUUUAGGAAUAAUACAUUAGGCACAUGGACGAUUGCACCGUUAGUUCGGAAGCAGAGCGGCAACGGCUUAUCCGGUGCUUAGGGGCAGUGAUUUUUCUAUAUACUUGUUAUUGGUAUUUUUCCCAUUCCAUUUUCUCAUACCAUCAAACUCAGAAAUAUAGAAUUGGAAAUAUAUUUCUGAGUCAUCACACACACACCAAAAUUGGAAUUGGAAAAAAAUUUUCCAUUCCAUUUUUCCAUUUCCUAUAUUUCCAGAAAUAUAUUUCCAGGCCAUCAAACUUUGCUUAGUGAAGGGACAAAGGGCAGUGAUUGCCUGUUUUAAAGUCCAUUAAUGCCUUUGCAUAUGCUGUCUUCAAGUAUUCUGCUGCUACACAUUAUCCCUUGAGAUGAACAAAAGGAAAAAGGCUGGUAGCUUCCUUAUGAACUAAGGAUCUGCGCAGGACACUAGAUUGGACAAAGUUAAAAGUCCAAGGAUGUGACAAAGAAACCAUACUAUUUUGUAUGUUAUACGGGGCAAUUUUGAUAUUUUAGUUCUUGUGUGCACUGAGGUAUAUAUUGUCUUUUUGCAGGGCACAUUAAGUUUCCAUCUUGUUUGAUACAUAUCCUCUCCACUUCGUCUUCUUCUUCCUCUUUUUUAUGCAUAGUUCACUAUUUUUCAUCAUCUUCACAUUUUCCUCUGUUCUUUUGUCAGGGAUUGAGUGCAGGGGAACAAGAUUUAGGAAAUGCUUAGGUCUUGAUCUGAUUAUCUGUUUUUAAGGUUUCAUAUUUUUGUGCAGCAAGCAGUGGUAAUAGACCAUUCAACAAAUUUCAAGGUUGGGACCUAUUUUGGUUCCCAAAAGCAUUUGGACAAUCAUAAAGAAUGGGAAUCUGAACUUGAAAAAUAUGAGUAUGGUGAAUAGGUAUGUUUUCCUAUGGGUUUUAAGUGUUUGCCACUGUACCUAUGCUUGUUAGACCGACGCUCGGUGCGACUGAAUGCAACUGGGAAGGAAUCGGGAGGCCGAUCCCACCCAAUCAAUCAUUCGAUCAAAUUACUUAUGCCGUGAAAACCCUCUGAUGAUCCGAUUGGGACAAAUUUCAAGGUAAUCUUCCUGUUUAGAAAUGAUUGGAACGAAUGUCUACAUGUUAGAGAAUUGGGUUACAGAAUUGAGAAAAGCACCAGGAAGGUCUGUCGGUACUUAUUUUUUCCUGCUAGCCUGCCAGAAGUCGUGUACAGCCAUAUGGUCUACCGUCGAUCUUCGCCCUUGAGAUGAAAUCUGCUGUUGAAUGCUCGCCAUUGAGAGACUCUGCUAUGCAAUUCGAUGGUGGUCGUUGCCUCUCAGUUUCACCGUGGUCAUGAAACUUGCACAAUGCUCCACGCUCAACACUGCUGCUGGGAAAAUCGGUGGACAGAAAUGAAGCUGAUGGGAGUCCGGCCACCGUCUGCCUCGAUAUCAGCCAAUGUCGCCUCCUGGUGAAGAAGAACCAGCGGAGGGUUUUCUUGAACAGCAAGACAGCCACCCAAACAAGGAAAAACAUGGAAGAGAAAGAAGAAGAACUCCCCGCGAGGGAGUAGAGACCGACUUCAAAGCAUCAUUAAUUCUGGAUAGGGUUCAUUACAGAGUUAACGAUCAUUUAUACUGUA